This is a small nucleolar RNA of Magnolia sinica, 106 nucleotides long. The record is from RefSeq and is a predicted model, not a curated record. Lineage: Eukaryota; Viridiplantae; Streptophyta; Magnoliopsida; Magnoliales; Magnoliaceae.
AGCCAUGAUGUGGGCAUGCAAGUAAAAGUUCCUUGAAACGUUCCCACUUCUGAAAGAAAGUUUCAUUCUCCUUUUAAGAUAAAUUCAUGAUGUUAUGUCUCAGGGU